UAUACCACAACUGGAACUGUCUCUGUUUUUUUCUUUCAACAAUAAACCCUAUUUAUUUUACUUCAAUUCUAAACACUACUUUUUUUCAUUUUUCUUUCAUCUUUUUUCAACCCAUUUUAUUAAUACACAACCUUAAUAAAAUAUUUCUAUUGUAACAAUACUAUGUUAUACUUCGAACAAACAAAUCAAUUCUUUUCAUCUUUCUUUGAAUACAUUUUCUCAUUUUUCUUUCUCCCAUAUUUUAACCUAUAAAUUGUGUUCUUGGUAAAAUAAAAAUUGAACUGAAUAAAGAGGGGUCCGCGCGAACGCAGGCGUCCCUCACUGCCACAAAUUACGACGUAGGUGCUACCAACUAGGGUAGACCUUAGACCAAUUUCCUUCCUUUAUGUGCAAUGGAAGUCAUCAGUCUAAGCCAUGGGCCUGCUUGAUCACCCAAUAGCUCCGUCCAGGUAUGUACCUAUUUCUGUACCACACACAUCAUAUUUAUAACAAACCUAUCCAACUCAUUUUCGUAAUCCCUCCAAUGUGGGACUUAAAUGCUAUUCUGUAAUAGUAUAUUAAAAUGAAACAUGGGUGGCCUCCUCGUAUUACACACCGAGUAUUUCACUACUCAUUCUCCAUAGUAUAUCCAAAGAAGCAAUGAUUACAGGAUGAAGAAUCUCUGUAGUUACAUUUUUUUAAUACAUUUUUCUCUCCUUUUCCUUCUUCAAGAAACGGACAAAAUGCUUCCUGUAGAAGAAUUUAUAUCCUCCGGGAGUAAGAAAGAAUCUCUUUACAUAUAAGAGUAUCACAUUAAAUCAAAUGUUGGUUCAAAAGGGGGAGCUGAAUAUGUUAUUAAAGACCUUAUUAUAGGGUUAUAACCCCCACUUUUUUGCAGGGAAAAGUUUCAAUGACAGUAAAGUUGAAGUACCAAUUAAAUGUCCUCAAUUUCACCUACUUCUACCAAGAGAGAAAACCAUGAGUAUACUCUCCAAAGUUCAAAUUAUACAUUGUGUUUAUCAAGGGUUAACAAGCAAGAAUGACUA
RNAcentral lists this long non-coding RNA (1025 nucleotides) under Lathyrus oleraceus (garden pea). RNAcentral's name for it is "Pisum sativum (pea) long non-coding RNA (PSAT_LNC004361)". The record is from RNAcentral. Lineage: Eukaryota; Viridiplantae; Streptophyta; Magnoliopsida; Fabales; Fabaceae.